GCUGAUGUUGCUCAGUGGAUAGAGCAUUGGCCUGCAGACUUAAGGAUUGCAGGUUCGAUUCCAGUCAAGAACA
This 73-nucleotide transfer RNA is filed under the name Myotis davidii. It matches the Rfam family "tRNA". Rfam says of the family: Transfer RNA (tRNA) molecules are approximately 80 nucleotides in length. Their secondary structure includes four short double-helical elements and three loops (D, anti-codon, and T loops). Lineage: Eukaryota; Metazoa; Chordata; Mammalia; Chiroptera; Vespertilionidae. The record is from Rfam by way of RNAcentral.